Molecule: ribosomal RNA, 490 nt
Filed under: uncultured bacterium
Lineage: Bacteria
Description: partial 16S ribosomal RNA
Rfam family: Bacterial small subunit ribosomal RNA
Source: RNAcentral
GAUGAACGCUAGCUACAGGCUUAACACAUGCAAGUCGAGGGGAAACGAUGAGAGAGCUUGCUCUCUUAGGCGUCGACCGGCGCACGGGUGAGUAACGCGUAUCCAACCUACCCAUUACAGGGGGAUAACCUUGCGAAAGUAAGACUAAUACCCCAUGGCAUUUUAUGGUGGCAUCAUUAUAGGAUUAAAGAUUUAUUGGUAAUGGAUGGGGAUGCGUCUGAUUAGCUUGUUGGCGGGGUAACGGCCCACCAAGGCAACGAUCAGUAGGGGUUAUGAGAGGCAGGCACACUAGAUUGGAACUGAGACACGGACCAAAAUCCUACGGGAGGCAGCAGAGAGGAAGAUUGGGCACUGGGCGAGGGCUUGAACCAGCCAAGUAGCGUAAGAGAGGCCGGGGCUAGGGGAUGUAAACUGCUUUGAUAGGAGAAUUGAGUGAGAUAACUGUAGUUUAUUGCAUGUACCGGAUGAAUAAGGACCGGCUAACUUCGUG